GGGGAAUAUUGGACAAUGGGGGGAACCCUGAUCCAGCCAUGCCGCGUGUGUGAAGAAGGCCUUAUGGUUGUAAAGCACUUUAAGCGAGGAGGAGGCUACUGAGACUAAUACUCUUGGAUAGUGGACGUUACUCGCAGAAUAAGCACCGGCUAACUCUGUGCCAGCAGCCGCGGUAAUACAGAGGGUGCGAGCGUUAAUCGGAUUUACUGGGCGUAAAGCGUGCGUAGGCGGCUUUUUAAGUCGGAUGUGAAAUCCCCGAGCUUAACGUGGGAAUUGCAUUCGAUACUGGGAAGCUAGAGUAUGGGAGAGGAUGGUAGAAUUCCAGGUGUAGCGGUGAAAUGCGUAGAGAUCUGGAGGAAUACCGAUGGCGAAGGCAGCCAUCUGGCCUAAUACUGACGCUGAGGUACGAAAGCAUGGGGAGCAAAC
Molecule: ribosomal RNA, 426 nt
Filed under: uncultured bacterium
Lineage: Bacteria
Description: bacterial SSU rRNA
Rfam family: Bacterial small subunit ribosomal RNA
Source: RNAcentral